AUUGCUUAUGUUAGACAUCAUGAGUGACAUCAACAGGAUAGGUGGAUGUGUGGUUAACAAUAGAAGCUUAAAGGGGUCCAAAUCAGUUUUUGCUUAGGGGCCACAAACAGCCUUAGACUGGCUUUGUUUAUUUAGUGUAAAAAUCUUUUCGUUGUUUUGUUCUUCAUUGAGAGAAAUUUUUGCUUUGUGAAGUGUCCGUAACCGCUGGGUUUCACACGGUUGUGUGUCACUAUCAUUAAUGCAGUCUUGCCUCUGCUUGAGCAUUUUUUACUUUAAACGCACGAUUAAGAAUAUUACUGGAAACUUCAGUUGUAUCAACAACCUUUAUAACCACAAAAAAGGCAUGACAGGCAGCUAUGAAUGAAAGAAAACAAGCAAAAAGCAUGUGCCAUGCAUAUAGUAGUGCAUAGACAUGUGUAUGAUGCAUGCCUCACACCUCAAAAGGUCAAAGUCCAAAAAGGGUUAUUGAGAAACACAUUGUUCUAGCAGCAGGAAAUGCACAAGGGACAAUGUAGCAGUAUCCAAUGUGUCUACUAAGGGUUUACCGUCAUAUUCAAUAAAACAGAAUAUGUGUUACGACGAGGAUCGAUUGUGAGAUAAAAAAACCCACCUUUAAGCAGAACCCACAGAUUGCAAGGAUAGAUGGCCAAGAGGAUGGAUGGAUAAAUCUGAAGAAGUCAGGGGCUUCUUCAGAUCUGCUGUAAGACAGACCACAACAGGAGAUCCUUCCUGCCCACAGCCAUCAGCAUCUACAACGGCUCUUUGAAGAAACCUUCAUAAUAUGAGCUAUAACAACAUUUAAUUUCCCUUUGGGAUUAAUAAAGUAUUUUUGAAUUGAAUUGAAUAAAUGCAGCGAGCAUAGACAAAGAAGGGUGGAACAAGGGAUAGAUGCUGGAUUGACAAACGAAAGGAUAAACAGAUGAAUGGAUGGAUGGAACUUGUAGACACCGGAUCACGCUCUCACUCCUCUAAAUUAUAUUCCAUGCUCUUCCAUACUUUCACGGACUGUGUAGAAAUUCUGAAUGAAAGGAAAAAACAAAGGAGAAGAAAGGUAAAUCCGAAUAAAUACACCUUUUUAUUUGAUUGA
This is a long non-coding RNA of Girardinichthys multiradiatus, 1087 nucleotides long. RefSeq lists it as uncharacterized. The record is from RefSeq and is a predicted model, not a curated record. Lineage: Eukaryota; Metazoa; Chordata; Actinopteri; Cyprinodontiformes; Goodeidae. The transcript has 3 exons.